GAGGAGCCCGCGGCCUAUCAGCUAGUUGGUGAGGUAACGGCCCACCAAGGCUUUGACGGGUAGCUGGUCUGAGAGGACGACCAGCCACACUGGGACUGAGACACGGCCCAGACACCUACGGGUGGCAGCAGUCGAGAAUUUUUCUCAAUGGGGGAAACCCUGAAGGAGCGACGCCGCGUGGAGGAUGAAGGUCUUCGGAUUGUAAACUCCUGUCAUUGGGGAACAAGGUGCAUACGUUAACUGCGUGUGCAUUGAUAGUACCCGAAGAGGAAGAGACGGCUAACUCUGUGCCAGCAGCCGCGGUAAUACAGAGGUCUCAAGCGUUGUUCGGAUUCAUUGGGCGUAAAGGGUGCGUAGGCGGCGCGGUAAGUCGGGUGUGAAAUCUCGGAGCUUAACUCCGAAACUGCAUUCGAUACUGCCGUGCUUGAGGACUGGAGAGGAGACUGGAAUUUACGGUGUAGCGGUGAAAUGCGUAGAUAUCGUAAGG
This 487-nucleotide ribosomal RNA is filed under the name uncultured Verrucomicrobiota bacterium. Its description in RNAcentral is "bacterial SSU rRNA". It matches the Rfam family "Bacterial small subunit ribosomal RNA", at positions 224 to 704 of the family's 1533-position model. Lineage: Bacteria; Pseudomonadati; Verrucomicrobiota. The record is from RNAcentral.